UGCAGCGACGCCGCGUGAGGGACGACGGCCUAUCGGGUUGUAAACCUCUUUCAGCACAGACGAAGCGCAAGUGACGGUAUGUGCAGAAGAAGGACCGGCCAACUACGUGCCAGCAGCCGCGGUAAUACGUAGGGUCCGAGCGUUGUCCGGAAUUACUGGGCGUAAAGAGCUCGUAGGUGGUUUGUCGCGUUGUUCGUGAAAACUCACAGCUCAACUGUGGGCGUGCGGGCGAUACGGGCAGACUAGAGUACUGCAGGGGAGACUGGAAUUCCUGGUGUAGCGGUGGAAUGCGCAGAUAUCAGGAGGAACACCGGUGGCGAAGGCGGGUCUCUGGGCAGUAACUGACGCUGAGGAGCGAAAGCGUGGGGAGCGAACAGGAUUAGAUACCCUGGUAGUCCACGCCGUAAACGGUGGGUACUAGGUGUGGGUUUCCUUCCUUGGGAUCCGUGCCGUAGCUAACGCAUUAAGUACCCCGCCUGGGGAGUACGGCCGCAAGGCUAAAACUCAAAGAAAUUGACGGGGGCCCGCACAAGCGGCGGAGCAUGUGGAUUAAUUCGAUGCAACGCGAAGAACCUUACCUGGGUUUGACAUGCACAGGACGUGCCUAGAGAUAGGUAUUCCCUUGU
This 626-nucleotide ribosomal RNA is filed under the name Mycobacterium sp. Ri3Pt_4255. RNAcentral's name for it is "bacterial SSU rRNA". It matches the Rfam family "Bacterial small subunit ribosomal RNA", at positions 387 to 1021 of the family's 1533-position model. The record is from RNAcentral. Lineage: Bacteria; Bacillati; Actinomycetota; Actinomycetes; Mycobacteriales; Mycobacteriaceae.